GUUACACACCCAUAUUAUCUGCGUCAAAGUAUUACAUUACAUAUAAUUGAAAUAUAGACAAGUGGAGCAGUUAACUUUGAACAUGUAAAACUUAACAGGAAAUUUUGAACUGGUGUAACGACUCGAAAUAGACAAUGUAAAAUUCAGUUUAGACACCCAAAAAAAGAGGGCCAACUGUAUCUUGGAGGCAAAAGAGAGGGAGAAGAACUUUAGACAAAGAAAACCUGUAGAGAACAAAAAAGGAUAAUAUAGGGGACGAAGGUAAAUUUGCUUCUAAAUUACAACGGACAGAAUCUGAGAACAUUAACUACAAUAUAUUUAUUCAACUCUGUUCCUGAAUAUUGUUUCCAUCCUUUUGCCCAGCGAGCAUCAACUCAUCAAAGUUCACCGUCUUACCCAGUACGAUUUCAAUCUUAGCUUUCUGAAUAGGUCUUCCCCUCAUGUCUUCAUUUACAUCAACCGUAGAAGUCAUGAUUUUUUUUUCAGUGGCCAGCCCAUUAUUCUUUAGAAUUUCAGCAAUUGAUACAACUGUUGAAAUCGCCAUUCCCA
RNAcentral lists this unclassified non-coding RNA (549 nucleotides) under Hevea brasiliensis (rubber tree). Lineage: Eukaryota; Viridiplantae; Streptophyta; Magnoliopsida; Malpighiales; Euphorbiaceae. The record is from RNAcentral.